GUGUCAGCCGCCGCGGUAAUACGUAGGGUGCGAGCGUUAAUCGGAAUUACUGGGCGUAAAGCGUGCGCAGGCGGUUUGUUAAGAUAGGCGUGAAAUCCCCGGGCUCAACCUGGGAACUGCGUUUGUGACUGCAAGGCUUGAGUGCGGCAGAGGGGGAUGGAAUUCCGCGUGUAGCAGUGAAAUGCGUAGAUAUGCGGAGGAACACCGAUGGCGAAGGCAAUCCCCUGGGCCUGCACUGACGCUCAUGCACGAAAGCGUGGGGAGCAAACAGGAUUAGAUACCCUGGUAGUCCACGCCCUAA
This 301-nucleotide ribosomal RNA is filed under the name uncultured bacterium. RNAcentral describes it as "bacterial SSU rRNA". It matches the Rfam family "Bacterial small subunit ribosomal RNA", at positions 505 to 805 of the family's 1533-position model. The record is from RNAcentral.